UAACGAAUCUUCCGCAAUGCACGAAAGUGUGACGGAGCGACGCCGCGUGUGGGACGAAGCCCUUCGGGGUGUAAACCACUGUCAGGGGCUACCAAGUUCUGAGGAGCCCCAGAGGAAGGCACGGCUAACUCUGUGCCAGCAGCCGCGGUAAGACAGAGGUGCCGAGCGUUAGGCGGAAUCACUGGGCUUAAAGCGUGUGUAGGCGGCGGGUGAAGUACCUUGUGAAAUCCCACGGCUCAACCGUGGAACUGCUGGGUAUACUGGCCCGCUUGAGCCACCUAGGGGCGAGCGGAACAAAUGGUGGAGCGGUGAAAUGCGUAGAUAUCAUUUGGAACGCCAAUGGUGAAAACAGCUCGCUGGGGGUGUGCUGACGCUGAGACACGAAAGCCAGGGGAGCGAACGGGAUUAGAUACCCCCGUAGUCC
This 424-nucleotide ribosomal RNA is filed under the name uncultured bacterium. Its description in RNAcentral is "bacterial SSU rRNA". It matches the Rfam family "Bacterial small subunit ribosomal RNA", at positions 355 to 796 of the family's 1533-position model. The record is from RNAcentral.